RNAcentral lists this ribosomal RNA (460 nucleotides) under uncultured Sphingobacteriales bacterium. RNAcentral's name for it is "bacterial SSU rRNA". It matches the Rfam family "Bacterial small subunit ribosomal RNA", at positions 922 to 1382 of the family's 1533-position model. The record is from RNAcentral. Lineage: Bacteria; Pseudomonadati; Bacteroidota; Sphingobacteriia; Sphingobacteriales.
CGACAAGCGGAGGAGCAUGUGGUUUAAUUCGUAUGAUACGCGAGGAACCUUACCUGGGCUCGAACGUAAGAUGACUGUAGGUGAAAGCUUACAUCUCUUCGGAGCAUUUUACGAGGUGCUGCAUGGUUGUCGUCAGCUCGUGCCGUGAGGUGUCGGGUUAAGUCCCAUAACGAGCGCAACCCCUACCUUUAGUUGCCAUCAGGUUAAGCUGGGGACUCUAAAGGAACUGCCUACGCAAGUAGUGAGGAAGGCGGGGAUGACGUCAAAUCAGCACGGCCCUUACGUCCAGGGCUACACACGUGCUACAAUGGCCGAUACAGAGGGCAGCUACCUGGUGACAGGAUGCAAAUCUCCAAAGUCGGUCUCAGUUCGGAUCGGAGUCUGCAACCCGACUCCGUGAAGUUGGAUUCGCUAGUAAUCGCGCAUCGGCCAUGGCGCGGUGAAUACGUUCCCGGGCCUU